Molecule: ribosomal RNA, 850 nt
Filed under: uncultured bacterium
Lineage: Bacteria
Description: bacterial SSU rRNA
Rfam family: Bacterial small subunit ribosomal RNA
Source: RNAcentral
CUGUAGUCGAGGGGCAGCAGGACUGUAGCAAUACAGUUGCUGGCGACCGGCAAACGGGUGCGGAACACGUACGCAACCUUCCUUCAAAUGAGGAAUAGCCUUUCGAAAGAGAGAUUAAUACCUCGUAACAUUUUCUGGUGGCAUCACCGGAUUAUUAUAGCCCCGGCGUUUGAAGAUGGGCGUGCGCCUGAUUAGGUAGUUGGCGGAGUAACAGCCCACCAAGCCUACGAUCAGUAACUGGUGUGAGAGCACGACCAGUCACACGGGCACUGAGACACGGGCCCGACUCCUACGGGAGGCAGCAGUAAGGAAUAUUGGUCAAUGGACGCAAGUCUGAACCAGCCAUGCCGCGUGGAGGAUGAAGGUCCUCUGGAUUGUAAACCUCUUUUAUCGGAGAAGAAACCCUUAGAUUCUUCUGAGGUUGACGGUACCCGAUGAAUAAGCACCGGCUAACUCCGUGCCAGCAGCCGCGGUAAUACGGAGGGUGCAAGCGUUAUCCGGAUUCACUGGGUUUAAAGGGAGCGUAGGUGGGGUGGUAAGUCAGUGGUGAAAUCUCCGGGCUUAACUCGGAAACUGCCGUUGAUACUAUCAUUCUUGAAUAUUGUGGAGGUAAGCGGAAUAUGUCAUGUAGCGGUGAAAUGCUUAGAUAUGACAUAGAACACCGAUAGCGAAGGCAGCUUGCUACACAAUUAUUGACACUGAGGCUCGAAAGCGUGGGGAUCAAACAGGAUUAGAUACCCUGGUAGUCCACGCCCUAAACGAUGGAUACUCGACAUACGCGAUACACAGUGUGUGUCUGAGCGAAAGCAUUAAGUAUCCCACCUGGGAAGUACGACCGCAAGGUUGAAAC